AUGACUGCACAUUAAGAAGAAAGUAUUUAUGCACUGAGGAUACUGCGCUUAAGAAUAUCAUAAGUCAAAUCUUAUGAUUGUGUCAAUUUUCAAUUUUUGACAAUUUCAUUGCUGUCGUAUGGGAUUCAUUACAAUGAAAUAGAUUUCAUUUAACAGCUUUAUGAUCUGUAUACGAUACACGUUUACAUUUCAUACGUCAGCGCAAUGAAAUUCAAAGCAUCUUGUGUGAAAAAAAUCAUAGUUGGCGCGUAUGGUACUCGAUCAAAUAUAGUGCAAACAUGGCUUCCGCUGAUGAUUUACUUCAGGAUCUUCCGAUUCCGGCUAGUGCGUUGCAAGUAUUCAGAGAGUGCGGAGUGGAUAUAACCGCCCUGAUUAGUUGGACUAAAACGGAAAUUUUUGACGCUAUUUCUUCUGCCCAAAUAAAUUGGAAUAAUAAUUUGAUUUGGGAAUGGAUUUCAAUCUGGCGGAGCCAACCUGGAUGGAGCAAUUAUUGUAAGUGAAAAUGAAAAUCUACAAUCUAACGAACGAUCAAAAAGUGAAGUGAAACUUGAAGUUUACUCUGACUUUAAAGGAGUCAUAAUUUCCGAUCACAAGACAAGUGAGCGUCCAGAAGAAGAAAAAAAACAAGAGGACGAGGAGGAAGCAAAUGUCCACAUCGAUCAAGAGACAAAUGUUUUAUUUACAAAUGAUCAGGAAAUUUGGCCGCAAGAUAAACCAGAUUCAUUGAAAAAGAUAUAUCAAGAUAAAAACAGUAACGUGAACAGGCAUGAAAGCCA
Long non-coding RNA from Malaya genurostris, 776 nucleotides. RefSeq lists it as uncharacterized. The transcript has 3 exons. The record is from RefSeq and is a predicted model, not a curated record. NCBI's taxonomy places the organism in Eukaryota, Metazoa, Arthropoda, Insecta, Diptera, Culicidae.